This is a long non-coding RNA of Oryza sativa Japonica Group (Japanese rice), 1120 nucleotides long. RefSeq lists it as uncharacterized. Lineage: Eukaryota; Viridiplantae; Streptophyta; Magnoliopsida; Poales; Poaceae. The record is from RefSeq and is a predicted model, not a curated record.
UUUCUUCUCUCUUCGUCUUCGUCGGUCAGUUAUCUUUUCCCCACUCCGCCGCCGCCGCCGCCGCCGGUCGAUCGGUCGGCGGCGAUGGUCGAGCUCGAUGCCUCCUGCUGAUGGUGCCAAAGAGCCCCCACUCCAUCGUAUUAGGACUAGGAGAGCCAGCCGAUUUGAUAUUUGGGAGCAGGCAGAGGCAGGCAUUUCUUCAACCAGGAAUGGAUCCCUAGCGGCUUAGCAAUUUGCCUGCAGUGAGUUGGAGGGAGUUCAAGCUGGUUGUGUGAGUGUGAAGCUUCUCUUUUCUUUUGCGGAGUAGCAAGCAACGGCGGGAGUUGGAGGGAGAUCUCCCGUCGCGGUCCCAUGUACGUUACGUGUAUGGAUCAUUGAUUCUUAUAUGAAGGAAGCUGCGCCAACUUGACCUGAACCUGAAUCUGGAGAAGAACAGGAAAUGUGAAUCUCAAGCUGGAGAAGAAAGGCAAAAAAAUAAAUGUAGUCGAUCAGCCCAUAGGCCUGCCUCAUCAACGCAGCUCGUUGGUGCAUUUCCAACGGAAGGACUGAUUCCUGAAGACCACGUCGUGGCAAUGGUUCCAUUGGACCCAGAAGCAGAGGAGGUAGAACAUCUGGAGAAGUCGGAAGAAAUACAAAGAAGAACUCUGUUGGGAACGCAACUGCUGAAACGGGUGGUCGGUGAAGUAUACAACUCGAAGUAUGGACAGCGACAUGAUAGGAGCGGGCUGGAGGACUGACUGAUGGGGUUGAAGCUGACAAAUGAAGUUCAAGAGGAUCGAAAAUGUGAGAAAACGUGGAGAAAAGGUUCAUGCUGAAGUUCUUUUGAGACUCCUGGGAGCUGGGACCAUGUGUUGAGUCCCCUGAGUAAUGUUGAUCGAUAGUUUGUAGUGGUAGUUGCUGCAGGGGGAGGCUUGGAGCUGACCAAGUGGGUUGGCGCUAGAUCUCAUCUCACCCUUCCCUGCUGUGUUGGCGUUGUUUUCUUUCUCUGUUGAACCUGUAGUGCUAAACCUGACGUUUCUCAUCAUGGAAAUGAGAGAGGGCUUUGGCCUAUCUUUGAUUUUUUUUAAAAAAAAGAAAAUAUAAGAAAUGCUUUUGACAAGCGCCCAAUUCCAAAAAAUGA